RNAcentral lists this ribosomal RNA (589 nucleotides) under uncultured Bacteroidales bacterium. RNAcentral describes it as "bacterial SSU rRNA". It matches the Rfam family "Bacterial small subunit ribosomal RNA", at positions 129 to 717 of the family's 1533-position model. The record is from RNAcentral. Lineage: Bacteria; Pseudomonadati; Bacteroidota; Bacteroidia; Bacteroidales.
CCGAUAACUCCGGGAUAGCCUUUCGAAAGAAAGAUUAAUACCGGAUGGCAUACGAAUAUCGCAUGAUAUUUUUAUUAAAGAAUUUCGGUUAUCGAUGGGGAUGCGUUCCAUUAGUUUGUUGGCGGGGUAACGGCCCACCAAGACUACGAUGGAUAGGGGUUCUGAGAGGAAGGUCCCCCACAUUGGAACUGAGACACGGUCCAAACUCCUACGGGAGGCAGCAGUGAGGAAUAUUGGUCAAUGGGCGAGAGCCUGAACCAGCCAAGUAGCGUGAAGGAUGAAGGCUCUAUGGGUCGUAAACUUCUUUUAUAUGGGAAUAAAGUUUUCCACGUGUGGAAUUUUGUAUGUACCAUAUGAAUAAGGAUCGGCUAACUCCGUGCCAGCAGCCGCGGUAAUACGGAGGAUCCGAGCGUUAUCCGGAUUUAUUGGGUUUAAAGGGAGCGUAGGUGGAUUGUUAAGUCAGUUGUGAAAGUUUGCGGCUCAACCGUAAAAUUGCAGUUGAAACUGGCAGUCUUGAGUACAGUAGAGGUGGGCGGAAUUCGUGGUGUAGCGGUGAAAUGCUUAGAUAUCACGAAGAACUCCGAUUGCG